UUAUAUAUGUAAAAUAAUUGGCGUAACAAUAUAAUUGAUUAUAUUAUAUAGGCUAUGACUACUAUACUAUUAUGAGUAUUGAAGCCCUCGUACUCAUAAGUUGUUUUCAAUGAUGGAGCUUCCGAAUCGACGAUCCACUCUGUUAAAUAUGAUCUAGAGUAUUUGAAACUUCUAGAAAAUUAAUUUCGUAAAUUUUCGAAAUCAUAAUAAAGUCCAUCAAGUGGGCAUAAAAUGAACGGUCAAAAUCGAACGACGUCCUAAAAAAAGAUAAUCGGAUCCUUCAAUUCAAGAUCGGAGUUAUUGAUCUUUAUCUAUGUAGUGAAUAGAAUUUUCUAUCAAAAAUUCAACAAAUUCUGAUUAUUUUACACCAUUAAACUAGCAAGUAUCCCAUACCGGCCGUUAAAAAUUGUCAAAUUUGUGACCUCUUGAUCGUAAGGUAAAUGAUGUCGAAAAAUUAUAAAUUUUGAUUUCUAGAAGUUUUAAAUGCUGUAAAUAACGUUUAACGUUGUGGAUCGUCGAUUCGGAAGCUCUAUCAUCGAAAACAACUUAUGAGUACGAGAGCGAUCAUACUCAUAAUAGUAUAGUAGCCGGACCCAUAUUAUAUAUGAUAAAGUUGUUAAAAAUUUUUGUUGGUGGUUUAUUAUUGGUUAAAACGCACUCAACUUUGUGCCACAAGCCUUGUGGCAACAGACUCAAGAGAUUAAUAAAUUCAGUUGGAUAAGUUGAAUAAAUUGAGUGGAAUUGUGAUUCACAAUAGACAUAAUGGCAAGAGAUCUAAUAAUAAAUUUAACGUUCAGAUGGAUUAAGUAGGGUCGAUAUUCGUGAGCAUUGUAGUUGAGCUUUUAAAUAUGAUGAAUACGCCCUUCCCAUCAGAAAAUAUUUUUGGGAUAGUUUGUCAGCAUUUACAAUCCAUAGAUUGAUCGUGGGAUACAUUGACAAUAAUACAAGUACUAUUGGAAAAGUUCUUUCUAAUCUUUAAGCAAAAAUUUUUUAAAGUAAUUUUAAAAUGCAAUAAUUCAAUUUCAGUUUUGAGCAGAAAUUAAGUAGCGAAAACUGUAGAGAAGAAAGGAUUAGAUGAAGCCUGUAAGUCAAGGCGUGCAAAGCACUAUACUAUAAGCGAGAUUGUCCCUCCAAGUUUGAGGCUUCGGCAGUCACUUCCAGCGAUACAAUGACCACCGUCCAUCCCAUCGGUCUGGUUUCAGGGUGGUGCAAUACGAACCCAACAAGCUAUCAGAGAUCCAGUC
Molecule: long non-coding RNA, 1244 nt
Filed under: Ananas comosus (pineapple)
Lineage: Eukaryota; Viridiplantae; Streptophyta; Magnoliopsida; Poales; Bromeliaceae
Description: long non-coding RNA (ACOM_LNC002401)
Source: RNAcentral